Molecule: ribosomal RNA, 497 nt
Filed under: uncultured bacterium
Lineage: Bacteria
Description: partial 16S ribosomal RNA
Rfam family: Bacterial small subunit ribosomal RNA
Source: RNAcentral
GAUGAACGCUGGCGGCGUGCCUAAUACAUGCAAGUCGAGCGAACAGACGAGGAGCUUGCUCCUCUGACGUUAGCGGCGGACGGGUGAGUAACACGUGGAUAACCUACCUAUAAGACUGGGAUAACUUUGGGAAACCGGAGCUAAUACCGGAUAAUAUAUUGAACCGCAUGGUUCAAUAGUGAAAGACGGUUUUGCUGUCACUUAUAGAUGGAUCCGCGCCGCAUUAGCUAGUUGGUAAGGUAACGGCUUAUCAAGGCGACGAUGCGUAGCCGACCUGAGAGGGUGAUCGGCCACACUGGAACUGAGACACGGUCCAGACUCCUACGGGAGGCAGCAGUAGGGAAUCUUCCGCAAUGGGCGAAAGCCUGACGGAGCAACGCCGCGUGAGUGAUGAAGGUCUUCGGAUCGUAAAACUCUGUUAUUAGGGAAGAACAAAUGUGUAAGUAACUAUGCACGUCUUGACGGUACCUAAUCAGAAAGCCACGGCUAACUACGUG